This 281-nucleotide unclassified non-coding RNA is filed under the name Hevea brasiliensis (rubber tree). Lineage: Eukaryota; Viridiplantae; Streptophyta; Magnoliopsida; Malpighiales; Euphorbiaceae. The record is from RNAcentral.
GAAAAAGGCCACAAUCAAAUGAGUUCUCCUGUUGUGGCAGCUCAAGACGGACAAAUGGAAGACUCGAGAACUUCUUCGCAACAUCCUCUCCUACUUCCUUGUGCCUCUCUUUCCACUCUUCCAAUAAGUAACUUUGUAUAAGAUUCUUCAGGCCUUUGUGGGUCCCCCGGAUUGAGUCCAUGUGCAAGAUGCAUGGAACCCUAGAUGAUUUCUCCAUUUCUUCCUCUCUAAACGUAACAACCUCGCCAGGGUGACAGAUGACUAUCAAACUCCAGUGGAGA